UACGUAUGGAGCAAGCGUUAUCCGGAUUUACUGGGUGUAAAGGGAGCGUAGACGGCAGGGCAAGUCUGGAGUGAAAGGCAGGGGCCCAACCCCUGGACUGCUCUGGAAACUGUCCGGCUGGAGUGCAGGAGAGGUAAGUGGAAUUCCUAGUGUAGCGGUGAAAUGCGUAGAUAUUAGGAGGAACACCAGUGGCGAAGGCGGCUUACUGGACUGUAACUGACGUUGAGGCUCGAAAGCGUGGGGAGCAAACAGG
Molecule: ribosomal RNA, 253 nt
Filed under: uncultured bacterium
Lineage: Bacteria
Description: partial 16S ribosomal RNA
Rfam family: Bacterial small subunit ribosomal RNA
Source: RNAcentral